UAGGGAAUCUUCGGCAAUGGACGGAAGUCUGACCGAGCAACGCCGCGUGAGUGAAGAAGGUUUUCGGAUCGUAAAGCUCUGUUGUAAGAGAAGAACGAGUGUGAGAGUGGAAAGUUCACACUGUGACGGUAUCUUACCAGAAAGGGACGGCUAACUACGUGCCAGCAGCCGCGGUAAUACGUAGGUCCCGAGCGUUGUCCGGAUUUAUUGGGCGUAAAGCGAGCGCAGGCGGUUAGAUAAGUCUGAAGUUAAAGGCUGUGGCUUAACCAUAGUACGCUUUGGAAACUGUUUAACUUGAGUGCAAGAGGGGAGAGUGGAAUUCCAUGUGUAGCGGUGAAAUGCGUAGAUAUAUGGAGGAACACCGGUGGUGAAAGCGGCUCUCUGGCUUGUAACUGACGCUGAGGCUCGAAAGCGUGGGGAGCAAACAGGAUUAGAUACCCUGGUAGUCCACGCCGUAAACGAUGAGUGCUAGGUGUUAGACCCUUUCCGGGGUUUAGUGCCGUAGCUAACGCAUUAAGCACUCCGCCUGGGGAGUACGACCGCAAGGUUG
Molecule: ribosomal RNA, 550 nt
Filed under: uncultured bacterium
Lineage: Bacteria
Description: bacterial SSU rRNA
Rfam family: Bacterial small subunit ribosomal RNA
Source: RNAcentral